Non-coding RNA from Glutinoglossum americanum, 84 nucleotides. The record is from the annotation of a GenBank genome assembly. Lineage: Eukaryota; Fungi; Ascomycota; Geoglossomycetes; Geoglossales; Geoglossaceae.
GCGCCGGUAGUUCAGGGGUAGAAUCUCAGUUUCCCACCAUCCUUGCGCCUACUGAGGGCCCGGGUUCGAGUCCCGGCCGGCGCA